This is a long non-coding RNA of Perognathus longimembris pacificus (Pacific pocket mouse), 194 nucleotides long. RefSeq lists it as uncharacterized. NCBI's taxonomy places the organism in Eukaryota, Metazoa, Chordata, Mammalia, Rodentia, Heteromyidae. The record is from RefSeq and is a predicted model, not a curated record. The transcript is spliced from 3 exons.
UUUUUUACUUAAUAAUAUAUUUUAUUAGUGGAUGUAUUGUAUGGCAAUUGGAGAACUCAUACAUUUUCUAGUCCACAAGAGCCACACAUAAUCCAUACAUUCAAUGUAUUCCAGAAUAGCAUUCAAUAUUUAUGAGACAAUGUCUUAUAAACUUCAACAUAUUAUGAAUUAAAAAAACACAACCAUGUAAUUAU